Molecule: transfer RNA, 87 nt
Filed under: Candidatus Methanoplasma sp.
Lineage: Archaea; Methanobacteriati; Thermoplasmatota; Thermoplasmata; Methanomassiliicoccales; Methanomassiliicoccaceae
Description: tRNA-Ser
Rfam family: tRNA
About the family: Transfer RNA (tRNA) molecules are approximately 80 nucleotides in length.
Source: RNAcentral
GUGGGGGUGGCCCAGCCUGGCAAGGCGGUGGAUUGCUAAUCCACUGUCACUUGUGACUCGGGAGUUCGAAUCUCCCCCUCCACGCCA